Molecule: small RNA, 740 nt
Filed under: Arabidopsis thaliana (thale cress)
Lineage: Eukaryota; Viridiplantae; Streptophyta; Magnoliopsida; Brassicales; Brassicaceae
Description: ATSL285200
Source: RNAcentral
UUUUUUGUAUAAAGCUGAUUAUUUAUAAGAUUUUAAUAUUUUUUCACUUCAUGAAUACAUAUAACAACAAUAAUGAUAUUUUGAUACAAUUCUGUGUAACUAUGUUAUUUUUGUGGUUUAAAAUUUUUCUAACUCGAUUAUAAAUAAAUCAAUUCCUUGUUUUAUGUACUUCAACAACAUUGUGAUAGGCUCAUGAUUAAAGUUUCGAUUGACAUCAACUGAAAAAGAUCUGAAGAGUAUUCGUACAAAAAAAUAAAAAGAUAGCAAAAAGUGAAUUUCAUUGAAGUCAACACUUUUAGAUCUCUUGUCAUUGCAUAUAUCAAUAUUAGAGAAAUGAUCGUGUCUUGGAUGAUUUGAAAAUUGUUCAACUUGAUUAUAAAUAAACUAUUUAUUCUCCAGAUAUAAUACUCCAACAACUAUGUUAUAGGCUCAUGAUUAAAUAUAUAGAAUUGAUAUAAACUGAACAAGAUUUCAAGAGUAUUCAUAUGAAAAGAAUUAAAAGAAUGCAAAAAUUAAAGUAUCAUUAAAGUCAAUACUUUUAGAUCUUCUGUCAUUGCAUAUAUCAAUAUAAGAGAAAUGAUCGUGUAUUACAUUAUUUGGUAGGUCUAAUAUUUUGAAGGUUUAUUAUUUGAAAAAACAUGAAUGUCAAUGUUAUCAAAGAAUCAAAAUUAAAUUACUAAACUAAUAAGAGGUUAGGUAGCAAACAACUACAACACAAUAAAAAAAUUAGUCAUGAUUAU